CUUCCUCAACUUGCUGCGGGCAGAUGUAGUGGAUGUGUGCGUCGAUGGCCCCGGCGGUGAUGAUGAGUUUCUCACCGGCGAUGACUUCGGUUGAGGAGCCGAUGAUGAGUGAGGGGUGGACGUUCGCCAUUACGUCUGGGUUGCCGGCUUUGCCUAUCCCUGCUAUGAGUCCAUUUUUUACGCCGAUGUCUGCCUGGGUUUGGGGGGUUAGUUGGUGUGUAUGGACUUGGAAAAGGGAAUACCUUGUAAAUACCAGACCAGUCGAUGAUGAGCGCAUUGGUGAUGACUAGGUCCAGAGUCUCCGUGGAAGAGCGGUUGGUCGCUUGUCCCAUACCUUCUCGAAU
This 344-nucleotide small RNA is filed under the name Laccaria amethystina LaAM-08-1. RNAcentral's name for it is "5' ureB small RNA". It matches the Rfam family "5' ureB small RNA". Lineage: Eukaryota; Fungi; Basidiomycota; Agaricomycetes; Agaricales; Hydnangiaceae. The record is from Rfam by way of RNAcentral.